AAAAACAUAUUCACCAAGUUUUAUUUUGAUAUGAAAACUAAUAAAGAAGAAAAUUGGGAAUUAUUAAUUUUAUUUCUUCAAACUUACUGACUUAUGUGACGUAGUUUAAGUCUUUUUGCAUGCCGGGAGUGAAAUUAAUAUCAUUUAAGUCUUGUACGUUAACCAUCUAAUAACGCUAUUUAAAGCGCAUCGACGACUUUUGGUGUAGCUAUUAACCAACGAAAAGUAAGUGAUAGCCAUGCAACUUUUAAAAUUAGAGUGUAGGAUUUAUGUGUGGAUUUUUUUUAUACGAAUUUUAGUAAUUAAAGUAAAUAAUACAAUAGAACAUUUUUAUGAUUUUUUUCUACAAAUACUUUAAACAAACAUAUGAAACUGACAUGAUCGAUAGUGUAUUAAAAAAUACAUGUUUGUAUUCUGAACUUUUUGCUUCAUUCCAGCAAACAUUUUCACUUGCUUGUACUGUGGAAAUAAAAUGUGUAUUAAUUUGUGACACUUAGUGAAUGUUGAAUGCGUAGUUAAACUCAAGGUAAUUAAAAGAUUAGCAUUAUGUAAUUCUUAUCUUUUGAUCUUCAUUCAGUGACAUCUAGGCGUCACGGUUCACCAUUUCAGGUGUGAACAACAUUUCGUAUGAAUGAUAUACGGGAGUCAGUUAUAGUUUUAGACACAGAAAUGUAAGAAAAAGAAUUAAAAUUAAUUUACGGGAGUAAUAAGGUCGCAC
This 718-nucleotide long non-coding RNA is filed under the name Mytilus galloprovincialis (Mediterranean mussel). Lineage: Eukaryota; Metazoa; Mollusca; Bivalvia; Mytilida; Mytilidae. The record is from RNAcentral.